UGGGGAAUUUUGGACAAUGGGCGAAAGCCUGAUCCAGCAAUGCCGCGUGUGUGAAGAAGGCCUUCGGGUUGUAAAGCACUUUUGUCCGGAAAGAAAUCCUUGGCUCUAAUACAGUCGGGGGAUGACGGUACCGGAAGAAUAAGCACCGGCUAACUACGUGCCAGCAGCCGCGGUAAUACGUAGGGUGCAAGCGUUAAUCGGAAUUACUGGGCGUAAAGCGUGCGCAGGCGGUUUGCUAAGACCGAUGUGAAAUCCCCGGGCUCAACCUGGGAACUGCAUUGGUGACUGGCAGGCUAGAGUAUGGCAGAGGGGGGUAGAAUUCCACGUGUAGCAGUGAAAUGCGUAGAGAUGUGGAGGAAUACCGAUGGCGAAGGCAGCCCCCUGGGCCAAGUACUGACGCUCAUGCACGAAAGCGUGGGGAGCAAACNGGAUUAAUNCCCUGGUAGUCCACGCCCUAAANGAUGUCAACUAGUUGUUGGGGAUUCAUUUCCUAGUAACGUAGCUAACGCGUGAGUUGACCGCCUGGGGGAGUACGGCCGCAAGGUUAAAA
This 550-nucleotide ribosomal RNA is filed under the name uncultured bacterium. RNAcentral describes it as "partial 16S ribosomal RNA". It matches the Rfam family "Bacterial small subunit ribosomal RNA", at positions 355 to 899 of the family's 1533-position model. The record is from RNAcentral.